Molecule: ribosomal RNA, 253 nt
Filed under: uncultured bacterium
Lineage: Bacteria
Description: partial 16S ribosomal RNA
Rfam family: Bacterial small subunit ribosomal RNA
Source: RNAcentral
UACGUAGGUGGCAAGCGUUGUUCGGAAUUAUUGGGCGUAAAGCGCGCGUAGGCGGCCCGGUAAGUCCGCUGUGAAAGUCAAAGGCUCAACCUUUGAAUGUCAGCGGAUACUGCCAGGCUAGAGUCCGGAAGAGGCGAGUGGAACUCCUGGUGUAGCGGUGGAAUGCGCAGAUAUCAGGAGGAACACCGGUGGCGAAGGCGGGUCUCUGGGCCGAUACUGACGCUGAGGCGCGAAAGCUAGGGGAGCAAACAGG